RNAcentral lists this ribosomal RNA (408 nucleotides) under Fusobacteriota bacterium. RNAcentral describes it as "Fusobacteria bacterium partial 16S ribosomal RNA". It matches the Rfam family "Bacterial small subunit ribosomal RNA", at positions 355 to 776 of the family's 1533-position model. The record is from RNAcentral. Lineage: Bacteria; Fusobacteriati; Fusobacteriota.
UGGGGAAUAUUGCACAAUGGACGGAAGUCUGAUGCAGCAACGCCGCGUGCGGGAUGACGGCCUUCGGGUUGUAAACCGCUUUUUCUCAUGACGAAGUUUUUUGACGGUAGUGGGGGAAGAAGCACCGGCUAACUACGUGCCAGCAGCCGCGGUGAUACGUAGGGUGCGAGCGUUGUCCGGAAUUAUUGGGCGUAAAGAGCUUGUAGGCGGUUUGUCGCGUCGGUAGUGCAAACUCAGUGCUUAACGCUGAGCCUGCUGUUGAUACGGGCAGACUAGAGGAAGGUAGGGGAGAAUGGAAUUCCCGGUGGAGCGGUGGAAUGCGCAGAUAUCGGGAGGAACACCGGUGGCGAAGGCGGUUCUCUGGGCCUUUCCUGACGCUGAGAAGCGAAAGCGUGGGGAGCGAACAGG